This 500-nucleotide ribosomal RNA is filed under the name uncultured bacterium. RNAcentral describes it as "partial 16S ribosomal RNA". It matches the Rfam family "Bacterial small subunit ribosomal RNA", at positions 30 to 523 of the family's 1533-position model. The record is from RNAcentral.
AUUGAACGCUGGCGGCAGGCCUAACACAUGCAAGUCGAGCGGAUGAGAGGAGCUUGCUCCUCGAUUCAGCGGCGGACGGGUGAGUAAUGCCUAGGAAUCUGCCCAGUAGUGGGGGACCACGGUUCGAAAGGAACGCUAAUACCGCAUACGUCCUACGGGAGAAAGUGGGGGAUCUUCGGACCUCACGCUAUUGGAUGAGCCUAGGUCGGAUUAGCUAGUUGGUAGGGUAAAGGCCUACCAAGGCGACGAUCCGUAACUGUUCUGAGAGGAUGAUCAGUCACAGUGGAACUGAGACACGGUCCAGACUCCUACGGGAGGCAGCAGUGGGGAAUAUUGGACAAUGGGCGCAAGCCUGAUCCAGCCAUGCCGCGUGUGUGAAGAAGGCCCUCGGGUCGUAAAGCACUUUAAGUUGGGAGGAAGGGCUUACAGCGAAUACCUGUGAGUUUUGACGUUACCGACAGAAUAAGCACCGGCUAACUUCGUGCCAGCCGCCGCUGUAA